CUUGGAGGAGUCCAGAGCUGCUGGCUGGCCUAUGGAGCAGAUUCCUCAUCAAACUCCUGUUCUGUAUGAGUUUACAAGGUCAAAAUGGUUCAGCAGAUGUACUUAAACACAAAGGGAGGCUGCCUCAUUUUCAGAAGCAAACUGAUACUGAGCAAGGAAGAAGCAGUUUCUCCAAGGAUUGUGGUGGUGUACAUCUCGGAUCUCCCUGAGGAAUGAAGCCAGUUGAUCUUUCUGCUGAACAAGGUGAUCCACCCAGACCUAGCAGCUGUGACUUGCUGUGAUUCACAC
RNAcentral lists this long non-coding RNA (288 nucleotides) under Junco hyemalis (dark-eyed junco). RNAcentral describes it as "lncRNA (ENSJHYG00000014842.1)". The record is from RNAcentral. Lineage: Eukaryota; Metazoa; Chordata; Aves; Passeriformes; Passerellidae.